AACGAACGCUGGCGGCAUGCCUAACACAUGCAAGUCGAACGAAGCCUUCGGGCUUAGUGGCGCACGGGUGCGUAACGCGUGGGAAUCUGCCCUUGGGUUCGGAAUAACAGUUAGAAAUGACUGCUAAUACCGAAUGAUGUCUUCGGACCAAAGAUUUAUCGCCCAAGGAUGAGCCCGCGUCGGAUUAGCUAGUUGGUGAGGUAAAGGCUCACCAAGGCGACGAUCCGUAGCUGGUCUGAGAGGAUGAUCAGCCACACUGGGACUGAGACACGGCCCAGACUCCUACGGGAGGCAGCAGUGGGGAAUAUUGGACAAUGGGCGAAAGCCUGAUCCAGCAAUGCCGCGUGAGUGAUGAAGGCCUUAGGGUUGUAAAGCUCUUUUGUCAGGGAAGAAACGGUGAGUUCUAAUAAAGCUUGCUAAUGACGGUACCUGAAGAAUAAGCACCGGCUAACUACGUGCCAGCAGCCGCGGUAAU
Molecule: ribosomal RNA, 475 nt
Filed under: uncultured bacterium
Lineage: Bacteria
Description: bacterial SSU rRNA
Rfam family: Bacterial small subunit ribosomal RNA
Source: RNAcentral